AGAGUUUGAUCAUGGCUCAGAUUGAACGCUGGCGGCAGGCUUAACACAUGCAAGUCGAGCGGAGACUUCGGUCUUAGCGGCGAACGGGUGAGUAAUACCUAGGAAUCUGCCUAUUAGUGGGGGAUAACGAAUCGAAAGGUUCGCUAAUACCGCAUACGUCCUACGGGAGAAAGGGGGGGAUCUUCGGACCUCUCGCUAAUAGAUGAGCCUAGGCCGGAUUAGCUAGUUGGUAGGGUAAAGGCCUACCAAGGCGACGAUCUGUAGCUGGUCUGAGAGGAUGGCCAGCCACACUGGAACUGAGACACGGUCCAGACUCCUACGGGAGGCAGCAGUGGGGAAUAUUGGACAAUGGGGGCAACCCUGAUCCAGCCAUGCCGCGUGUGUGAAGAAGGCCUUCGGGUUGUAAAGCACUUUAAGCGAGGAGGAAGGUUUAUAGGUUAAUACCCUAUAGAAUUGACGUUACUCGCAGAAUAAGCACCGGCUAACUCUGUGCCAGCAGCCGCGGUAAUACAGAGGGUGCAAGCGUUAAUCGGAAUUACUGGGCGUAAAGCGCGCGUAGGCGGUUUGUUAAGUCGGAUGUGAAAUCCCUGGGCUCAACCUAGGCACUGCAUCCGAUACUGGCUAACUAGAGUGUGGGAGAGGAAGGUAGAAUUCCAGGUGUAGCGGUGAAAUGCGUAGAGAUCUGGAGGAAUACCGAUGGCGAAGGCAGCCUUCUGGCCUAACACUGACGCUGAGGUGCGAAAGCAUGGGGAGCAAACAGGAUUAGAUACCCUGGUAGUCCAUGCUGUAAACGAUGUCAACUAGCCGUUGGGGACCUUGAUUCUUUAGUGGCGCAGCUAACGCGAUAAGUUGACCGCCUGGGGAGUACGGUCGCAAGACUAAAACUCAAAUGAAUUGACGGGGGCCCGCACAAGCGGUGGAGCAUGUGGUUUAAUUCGAUGCAACGCGAAGAACCUUACCUGGCCUUGACAUGUCUGGAAUCCUGCAGAGAUGCGGGAGUGCCUUCGGGAAUCAGAACACAGGUGCUGCAUGGCUGUCGUCAGCUCGUGUCGUGAGAUGCUGGGUUAAGUCCCGCAACGAGCGCAACCCUUUUCUUUAUUUGCCAGCACGUAAUGGUGGGAACUCUAAAGAUACUGCCGGUGACAAACCGGAGGAAGGCGGGGACGACGUCAAGUCAUCAUGGCCCUUACGGCCAGGGCUACACACGUGCUACAAUGGUUGGUACAGAGGGUUGCUACCCCGCGAGGGCAUGCCAAUCUCAUAAAGCCAAUCGUAGUCCAGAUUGGAGUCUGCAACUCGACUCCAUGAAGUCGGAAUCGCUAGUAAUCGCGGAUCA
Molecule: ribosomal RNA, 1336 nt
Filed under: metagenome
Description: bacterial SSU rRNA
Rfam family: Bacterial small subunit ribosomal RNA
Source: RNAcentral